Ananas comosus (pineapple) is the source of this 1088-nucleotide long non-coding RNA. RefSeq lists it as uncharacterized. The record is from RefSeq and is a predicted model, not a curated record. The transcript has 7 exons. Lineage: Eukaryota; Viridiplantae; Streptophyta; Magnoliopsida; Poales; Bromeliaceae.
ACACCUGUCUAAGCACCAGAACUCCUCUCUCUCUCCUUGAUUCUUAUCCUUAUCCCUUCAUUAGCUUAACUUCAUUUAACUCUUUUCUUCUUUUCUCUCAGCCCUAGAGGUAGGCUGAAGCAAAGGGAGCUAAGGGAGUUGUUGUGCUGAGUGAUUUCUUGGUAUUUGAGUGGAGAGAGAGAGAGAGAGAGAGAGAGAGAGAGAGAGAGGAAGCAAAUAAAGGGGAGUAUUUUUACUGCUGGAAUUGAAGCAGCAAACUUGGAGGUUGGCAUCCUGGAGGCCUGCGGGCUGAGGAGGAAGGCCUAAACUGAGCUGAAUUCCGGCUGAUAGGAGUUGCUGUGUAAAUUAGUUCAGCAUCCAAUUAGAAAGACUGAAGUUGGGACUUGUGGAGCUGCUGGAUUAGGACUGCAGCUAAGGAAAGCUUUGAUGCAAAAUUCUGAUGGCUAAAGCUGAAAACAAAUUGAAGGAAUACCCAGUUAAGGACUUAUAAUUAAGAGAAUUAGUGGCAGCCUUGAUGUUUUGAGUUGCCGAGUCAACAUCUCGGGUGAGUGGACCAGAGAGCUAGCCAGGAGAAUACUUUAAGUAAGAAGUAGCAGAAUUGGAACUUCGAGCAGAUUGAAGUUAUCAAAUUGGGAUUUCAGCUGAAGGAAAUUGGGAAGAUAAGGAAUUGAAAAAGGAAAAGAGAGUGUGGUGCUGAAAUUUCAGCGAGCAGUCAUCAUGAUGCAGAAUCCAUUGUAAGCUGAAAUCAAGUUGGUUAAGCAAUGAAUUAAGAUUUCAUUAGUUGAAAUCAUUACUGCUGGGGAAGCAAAGUAGAGAAUUGCUGUUUGGUAGACUUCUAAGCACCCAAAUUAAGAAGAAGUUUAGUGAAGCUUCAAAUCUGGUUCCAGUGCGAGUGCUGUGGUCGAGGAUCGCGGCAAGAGCCCAGCAGUUUAGCUAGCUGACACCAGAAUAUAGUUGUUUACCAUUUUGAGAUCAUGUAUCAUCUAUUUUGAUGUACCGAGACAUGUAAAUGAAUGUAUUAUAAAGCAUGUAAAUAACUAAAUGUUUCAGUUAUUUAGUUACGUAAAGUUCAGUUUAAAAGUUUUAAA